CUGAAGUUAUCACAGCCUGCCAUUACCACAGUGAACCACCAGGUGGCACAUGUUUCCUGAUAAAACCAAAUCUAGCUUUUCAGAAAGGCCCGUGGAAAAUGAAUUGGCACUAAAAAUGGGAUCGAGAUCAUCCAUCAGAGAACAUCUAUACAUGUUUUUCUUCUUUUGUUUUUUUGGCAAUGUGCCAAGCAGGCAAAUGAAACAAGAAAGCUUGGACAAUCUUUCACAGCAUAGCUGCUACCCAAGUCAAACAGCCCAAGUCACUUUUCAUUCUCCAGCAAACAAGUAUGGAUAGUGUUGUGGUACGUUACAAAAGAAACUGUACAGAAGAUCAUCUCAACACAAAGGAUCCUGGGGGGAUAGGAAACCACGGACAAGGUGACAUGAAGGCGAUCAGUGCCAAGCGGAUUGGAUGCUGAGCACAGGGUGAAGAUGAUGAAGACCUAAUGAUGAUCCACUUCCACAUAAUAAACAGUAA
Neofelis nebulosa (Clouded leopard) is the source of this 478-nucleotide long non-coding RNA. RefSeq lists it as uncharacterized. Lineage: Eukaryota; Metazoa; Chordata; Mammalia; Carnivora; Felidae. The record is from RefSeq and is a predicted model, not a curated record. The transcript is spliced from 4 exons.